UGCAAAUGCACUCUGUGUCACAUUGAAUUUACCUACAUGUGAAGACAAUUUGUUAGUUUGCUAUAUGAAAGAGAUGUGACUUAUCCAUGCAAUUAGUGCCGUAAAAGGUUGAUUGCAUUGAAAUCGCAUUUUACACUAU
This is a small nucleolar RNA of Drosophila melanogaster (fruit fly), 139 nucleotides long. It matches the Rfam family "Small nucleolar RNA psi18S-841/snoR66". Rfam says of the family: psi18S-841 is a member of the H/ACA class of snoRNA. This family is responsible for guiding the modification of uridine 841 in Drosophila 18S rRNA to pseudouridine. NCBI's taxonomy places the organism in Eukaryota, Metazoa, Arthropoda, Insecta, Diptera, Drosophilidae. The record is from Rfam.